This 484-nucleotide ribosomal RNA is filed under the name uncultured Actinomycetales bacterium. RNAcentral's name for it is "partial 16S ribosomal RNA". The record is from RNAcentral. Lineage: Bacteria; Bacillati; Actinomycetota; Actinomycetes; Actinomycetales.
CACGUAGUUAGCCGGUGCUUCUUCUUCAGGUACCGUCACUUUCGCUUCUUCCCUGACGAAAGAGGUUUACAACCCGAAGGCCUUCAUCCCUCACGCGGCGUCGCUGCAUCAGGCUUGCGCCCAUUGUGCAAUAUUCCCCACUGCUGCCUCCCGUAGGAGUCUGGGCCGUGGCUCAGUCCCAGUGUGGCCGGUCACCCUCUCAGGCCGGCUACCCGUCGUCGCCUUGGUAAGUCACUACCUCACCAACAAGCUGAUAGGCCGCGAGCCCAUCCCCCACCAAAAACUCUUUCCACCCAAACCCAUGCGAGCUUGAGUCAUAUCCAGUAUUAGACCCCGUUUCCAAGGCUUAUCCUGAAGUGAAGGGCAGGUUACUCACGUGUUACUCACCCGUUCGCCACUAAUCCACCCCCGAAGAGGCUUCAUCGUUCGACUUGCAUGUGUUAAGCACGCCGCCAGCGUUCGUCCUGAGCCAGGAUCAAACUCU